UCGAACGCGCGUAUAAGUACAUCCACACGGACGAAGCUACUUCUGACCGACGCCAGACGGAAGGCAAAAGUCAGAAGAAGAAACAGAAGAAAGGUGUAGCUCCAACCGAAUCAAGUAGGCCACCUCUCAAUAAGCGAGCUUCACCCAGUCUAAAGCCGAACUAUGACAGAUAUGACUCCUAUACUUCUCUCUCUGCUCCUCAUGCAUAGAUUCUCAU
Molecule: long non-coding RNA, 217 nt
Filed under: Elaeis guineensis (African oil palm)
Lineage: Eukaryota; Viridiplantae; Streptophyta; Magnoliopsida; Arecales; Arecaceae
Description: long non-coding RNA (EGUI_LNC010948)
Source: RNAcentral